AUGAACCUUGGUCUUACUUUCAGCAAGUCCUCUUCAACUCUUGUUAGUGCUUUUUCUGAUUCUGACUGGGCAGGAUGUCCAGAUGACAGACGCUCCACUGGUGGUUUUGCAAUAUUCUUUGGUCCGAAUUUAAUAUCUUGGUGUGCAAAGAAACAAGCCACAGUGUCACGAUCAAGUACAGAAGCUGAGUAUAAAGCACUAGUCAAUGCCACAGCAGAGAUUAUAUGGGUUCAGUCCAUGUUGAAAGAGCUUGGUGUGAAGCACACUCGAAUUCCAUGUCUAUGGUGUGAUAAUCUUGGUGCUACUUACCUAUCUGCUAAUCCAGUUUUUCAUGCCAGCACAAAACACAUUGAGAUUGAUUUCCACUUUGUUCGAGUAAGG
Molecule: ribosomal RNA, 381 nt
Filed under: Triticum aestivum (bread wheat)
Lineage: Eukaryota; Viridiplantae; Streptophyta; Magnoliopsida; Poales; Poaceae
Description: partial small subunit ribosomal RNA
Source: RNAcentral